GGGGGGGGGCUCUGGGCACGUGUGUGUGUGUGUGUGUUUCUUUUAACCAUGAAAUUACAUCUUCCACAUCUUCCAGAUCCGGUACUUGGCUUGCUUCCUCUGGAACUGCUUGGUGAGCGGUUGGACACGUGGACAGAGCACAUGGACACUGCCUCUGAUAUGGGGUCCAGAGGUGAGCACCGUGAAUUUGGGUCACUUUCCACCUGUGUAUACCUUUCCUGUCCAUGCUGACGUCAAUGAUGUUAAAAACAGUAGCAGUGCCAAUAAGGGGGAUAAAGUAUUAACAAACAGAUGGAGAAGAGUAAAACAUACAAAGUAAAGUAACACAGUUUGUUCAGCCUUCAGAUAAGAUAUUUAGGUAAUGUUGAUGCUUUCAUAUUUUGUUUUGUGCUGCUGUUAUAUUUGAAUGUACCCUAGCGUUAUCCAUGAGAUGAAGAGUUCCUAGCUGGGUAUUGCUGCUUACAUCAGCAAACUAAUGAAAAUCAUUUACACAUGUAGCUAUUUACAUACGUAAGUCCGACAUUCAUAUGUAGCAUGCGCGUUUCCUCGGAGGUCCCUGCUUUCCGUGGAAAUGUUGCUCCCUCCAGAAGCAGCACGACUGCAAGAGCUCACUGCUGUGACUGUAAGUAUCGAGGGAGUCUUCGUUUGUAUUUGUCAAAAACAUACAGGUAUAAAGUGGGUAUAUCCUGCAGAACUGCCAAGGUGUAAGCUGUGAUAAACCAGGGGAAGCAAGUAAAAUUAAAACGUCAACGUCAUAGAAUAUUAGCUUAUGUGAGUAUUGAUUUCUUAGGGGGGUGAAGGGAGCUUUAUCUCCCCUACCUCUCCAGCAUCCAUUAACGCUGUACAUAUCCUCAAACCAUGUGAUGAAAUCGUAGCUGUGUCCUCCCAUUCAGAUCAGAGCUGAGUCUAUGCCACUUGUGUAUUGGUCCAUCUGAAGAAUCACAUACAUCCACAACUUUCUGACUCACCGCUUUCUCAAAUUUGCCUAAAGUCCAUGCUGGAUCUCAUCUUUCUUGGAAAGAUUUUAUCUUUCUUGGAAAAUAUUUUAUCUUUCUUGGAAAGAUUUUAU
RNAcentral lists this long non-coding RNA (1069 nucleotides) under Anser brachyrhynchus (Pink-footed goose). RNAcentral's name for it is "lncRNA (ENSABRG00000016685.1)". The record is from RNAcentral. Lineage: Eukaryota; Metazoa; Chordata; Aves; Anseriformes; Anatidae.